AUCCAGCUGGCGAGUCCCAAAUAGGACGAAAUGCGCGUCCUGGAU
RNAcentral lists this non-coding RNA (45 nucleotides) under Schistosoma mansoni. The record is from RNAcentral. Lineage: Eukaryota; Metazoa; Platyhelminthes; Trematoda; Strigeidida; Schistosomatidae.